CCGAUGGGAUCUGUGCCAUGAUUGUUUAUGGGUGAAUACGGGGGAGUUAAAAAUUCGGUGGUGUAUAGUGUACGGUCGAGCCAGACCUGAUCUGUGGGCCAGGACAACGGCCUCCGUCCGGUGUGCGUGCCUGUGAUUCUGACGGCGGCCAUCGCCUGAGCCGUGGAUCGGAUCAUCUUGCUGGAAGCUGGUCCGUCGCCUAGUAAAUUCACUUUCCCGCAUGAUUGGUGGAGAGGUAGGCAUGGUCCGUCCAGCUGUGCUAUUCCUCAUCGGUUGCGAAGAGCGGUUGAGGUGCUGGUCCUGGCGACAAGUCCAUGGCAAGUAGGCGACUCCAUUAUCGGCGAUGGAGUUUCUAAGAAGAUUCCCCUAUGUCGAGGAAAUUGACGAGAGCGCAACCCAGAUGGAUCUGGCAACGCACGCGUGUGGGGUUCACUCAGGUUCUGGACCUAGGCCGACGCACAGAUCUGCGAGGGGGAGAGGAGAAGUGAGCACAGACGGGAAGCAUCGCCACAAUCAUCCGAGCUUUCCACCGGCAAGAUGAACACACAAACCCCUGGUUAGAGUAAGAGGUACGUUUCAGAGAUUUCUGUUAAUGAUGGAAAAAUCAUAGAAUGCCUGAAUGGAAGUUGUGAGCUCUUCAUUGAACGCACCUGUGGGAUUGUGCUUAGGAUUCGUAACCAGUAGCAGUUGUUUUGUUUCUGAAGAAUUAUUUUUUGAUGCUGCCGAACUUGUUCAAACUAGUCAUUGUCGCUAUGAGCUUGUAUGGAAAUCGUAUGAAUAAUCACUUACAAAGGGGAAAACACAUUAGAGUGAUAAUAUGGGACCACCGACAAAGGAAAAACACAAAUAAGAGUAUGGAACAGUAAAAAGGAAUUGCAAAAACCAGUAGCUUAUUAUGUGCCGAAGACGAGGGCAUUGGCAAUUAAUUACUCCUUCCGUCCAAUAACAUAAGAGCGUUCUUGACACUAAUUACGGGAUGGAGGGGGUACUAGUUUUUGCACCCUCUAAUACAUGUCUUGGCAAUUAGUACUGGUUUUUGCACCUUCUAGUACAUCUUCACCACGGCUUGGUUGCUGAUGCAGAUAGUAGAUUCAGAAGUGUCUCUGACCAAUUUAAUUGGGGACAUUGGGGUGCUUAGAAAAUUUGUUUAGUACUAGAUGCAUAACGAAAAUAAGGAAUUGUGUUAAGGAAAAUAAUGGAUGCACUUCGCAUACCGCGUCCAGGCGGAUAAUGAGGGUAGGAUUAAGAACUUAAUGUGGGCAAAUGGUGGCCGUCGACUUCAAGUAACUUUUUUCGGUGAUGUUGUGACAAAACGUACGUACAAAUCUGUACGACAUGGCUAUUUGUGGGAGUAAAUAACGAUUUUCAGAGCGUCAAGUGGGUCUUCUCUGAAUUUCUUCGGAUGGCGGGAGAGGUGUCGUGCCUCAAACAGUCCUAACCGAUCAGAAUCGUGCUAUGGAGCUUGUAAUUCAGAGUAUAAUGCCCGACACCUCGCAUUGUGGUGUAAGUGGCAUGUGAUGAAGAAAGCCAAGGAGACCAUUGAGGGCAGAAUUCCUUAAGGCGGUGAAUUUAGGGCAGAAUUCCUUAAGGUGGUGAAGCACGUGCUGACCAUUGAUGAGUUUGAGGAUGGUUGACGCCUUUUGCUCGAUAAAUACAAGCUAAACUCGUGUCCCUACGUUACACAGUUGUAGGAGAUAAGGCACAAGUGGGUAAAGCUAUACUUCAAAGGGGUGUUCUUGCGAAGAUGACAAGUACCCUGUAUGCUUCUUUUUGCUCGCCAUGUUGAUGGAUUGAGCAGAUUGUGACGGACGACUUUCACAUGAUUAUGAACCUAGCUUUUAUUGAUGAUCAAUUCUGUUCUAUUGCAAAAUUGCAAGAGCAGCCCAUCUACAAGCGUGGAGUCCUGGGAGUGUUAGUGUGAGGGAAGGUGGCUCGAUGGAUCUUGUGCUGAGCUUAGGCAUGGACACUGUGCUCACGGGCCGGAGGGAGAGCGGACGGAUGAUGCAGCAAGGUGAUUAUACUGGUGGUCUGUUAGCUGUGUUAAACAUUUUUUUAUGAAUGGAUGGCGUCGACGGCGUCGGUUGGUACGG
Triticum aestivum (bread wheat) is the source of this 2090-nucleotide long non-coding RNA. RefSeq lists it as uncharacterized. The transcript has 3 exons. NCBI's taxonomy places the organism in Eukaryota, Viridiplantae, Streptophyta, Magnoliopsida, Poales, Poaceae. The record is from RefSeq and is a predicted model, not a curated record.